GCUUUUGCAAUUUUAGAGUUUUUUUUAAUACUGGUAGCCAGAUUUUGUUCAUCUUCAUGGUUUCCUCCUUUCUGUUGAAAUUGUCCACAUGCCUCUUGUGGAUUUCAAUGGCUUCUCUGUGUAGCCUGACAUGGUGGCACUGCAGACUCCUUCAACCAGAGAAGUCAGCCAUAGCAGAGCACCUGAUGAACCAGCCUGGACACAGCAUAUUAUUUGAGAACACAGAAAUGCUGGACCACACCAACAACCACCAUGUCAGACUACACAGAGAAGCCAUUGAAAUCCACAAGCAUGUGGACAAUUUCAGCAGAAAGGAAGAGACCAUGAAAAUGAACAAAAUCUGGCUACCAGUAUUAAAAAACUCUAAAAUUACAACAGCAAAACAGCAGAGAGGAAACAACCAGGCACAUCUUAACACCUCUCAACAAAAGAUUUUCCCAGGCUCAGCCAGGCCUUCAAAUGCUAAUGAAGGUGGUCAGUUGAAA
Molecule: non-coding RNA, 485 nt
Organism: Anolis sagrei ordinatus
Lineage: Eukaryota; Metazoa; Chordata; Lepidosauria; Squamata; Anolidae
Source: RefSeq, a predicted model, not a curated record